Molecule: non-coding RNA, 2598 nt
Organism: Oryzias latipes (Japanese medaka)
Lineage: Eukaryota; Metazoa; Chordata; Actinopteri; Beloniformes; Adrianichthyidae
Source: RefSeq, a predicted model, not a curated record
GAAGAAGAAGAGAGCCAAUGUGGGCUGAACCCGGACCCCGGACCGCCCUGAUGCAGGUCCGCUGGUCGGUGUCCACGAGUGUUCGCGAGCGGCUCGCAUUUCUGCGUCCGCCCGCUCAGGAGUCCUCAGCGGGCACGCGCGUCUCUGUGUGAUGCGCUCACGAUGCCGCUCGCUCCCGCGAACCAGGCCCAGCUGAUUCGGUCCUGUCAGAAGGACGACUACUACCGAACGGUUCUGAGAAACAAUGCAAACGAGGCUGUUCAGACACUGGCAGGAUCCAGACUCUGGCUGCACUGGAGGAAGGAGGUGGAGCUUCUGUCUGACGUGACUUACCUUAGUCUGACCACACUCUCAGGUUUUCAGACGUUGGGGGAGGAGUAUGUCAACAUCGUGCAGGUGGACCCCUCCAAACGGCAGAUUCCCUCCCGGGCCAGGCGCAGUCUCUUUGUCCUGUUCCAUGCCUUCUUUCCGUACCUGCUGGACAAGCUGCUGGUGUGUCUGGAGAACGAGCUGGAAGGCAGUCAGGAUGGCAGGCGGCGGGCAGCAUCGGCUGGGUGGGGCCUAAGCUGCUGGCUGAGGCUGUGGGUGCAGAGGGGGGUGUGCCUACUGACAGGGGAGCAGAGGAGGGUGUGGCUUUCAGCUGUGGGCAUCGCACAGCAGACUGUGGCGCUUGUGCACCGCCUCCACACCACCCUCUUCUACCUCAGCAGCUCCUUCUACCACCUGUCAAAGAGAGCGGCUGGAAUCAGCUACCUGCGGGUGGAGGGCCUACGCGGGGACGACGCCUCAAUCAGGACAACCUACAGGCUGCUGGCUGCUGUUUCGCUCCUGCAGCUGCUCGGCAGCGUGGCUCUGCAGGUGGGCAGCUUCAGGCAGAGACAGAGAGCCCGGCAGGAGUGGAAGCUCUUCAGAAGCCUCAGUCCUGAUCGCCCUCAGAGCCCCGCCCCUUCUGCCGCCCGCUGCAUCCUCUGCCUGGAGGCCCGGAGGAACUCCACCUGCACACCCUGUGGACACCUGUUCUGCUGGGAGUGCAUAACUGAGUGGUGCAACACCAAGGCCGGAGAUCUACCGUCCCAUCCUUUUGACAUCAUGAGCACCCCUGAUGCAGAACCUUCUCUGACCAGGAUGAAAAAGUUGCAGCAAGAAGAGAAGCAACUUGUCCUAUGACUGUUAUCUCUGCAGAAACUCCUCCAGCUCCUCACUAAACUGUGGUUACCCAGCAGACAUUUCCAAACUUCUUCGUGAUUCCUGCUUUUUCUGAUUCAUGCUCAGAAAAAACUCAGAGCUACAGCCUCUCCUCCCUUUGGUUCUCCUCCUCUCUUUGGUCUGUGGAAGGUCUGUCUCUAUUCACACAGAAGUGAAUCACACCAGAGGUCAUCUGAAAGUGGACCAGGAACCAAACCUAACUAAGGAAAUGAUACCUUAGCAAGUGAUGAACACCCCACCCCAUUUCAUCCCCACCCACAGCCAUGCCCCCACCCCAUGCUUAGAAGAGACCCUGUUUAACCUGUGAUCAGGUUCACAGAGUUACGUUUUCUGACUUCAAGCACGGUCUCGCUACUUUGAACUUUUUCAACACUGGCAUCAUUACCAUGGCAACACCAUGCAGGGUGGGACAGUAAACUUUUUACAAUACACAGUUUUCCUACAGCCCUGAAGGUACUGAGUUUUCAGAGUUAGAUUUACUGAGGCUUAAAUAAAACUCUAAGCCCCUGGAACCGUGACGAGGACUCACCUAUUGAGAUCUGAACCACCGGGAACGCUGCCAUGACGAUCAGCAGGAGCCCUGUAGAGAGGGCAGGAAGCGUCAGUGGCCAUACCUGCUUCAUCUGGGUCUGAGUCUUCCUGGACCUACCUGCAACAAGCACACCUGCACUGAGAGCACAGCUCGCAAAGUCCCACCUGCCUGCCAUCACUGAUGAAUACCAGGCUGCGUCCCACACAAAUGUGCUCAGAGCUCAUUACAACACCACAGCUGCAAGCUCGGGGCUUCCUCUGUUGAGUAACCGCCUCACAAACCCAUCCCCCAAUGUGAGGCAGACCUGAUGAAGAUGAAGGUUUCCUAACAGGAUAGAGAAGGGUUUUUUGGGGGACGUUUCGUGUGCUCAGCAGUUGGAGGCAGGAAUUCCUGUGGAGGAAUGAGACAGCCGAAGGAAUCUCCACAGAAACAGGGAAGCCACUUUCCAAAAUGUAGAUUCCUCACAGGGGUGUGUUUAUUUUCCUAUUGUGUUCCGAUGUUUGUUUUCCCCAGAUAUUUUUGAUCAACCAGUGUUCUCACCAAGCCCCCACCUGCUGCGAUAGGCUGUUCCUCCAGUGACCACUGGAGGCUGAAUACCAGCUGAUGAGGGUGGCUGGGCGCUCCUGGACGCCUCCCUGGGGAGGUGUACAGCGCAUGUCCCACUGGGCAGAGGCCCCGGGGAAGACCCAGGACACGUUGGAGAGAGACUAUGUCUCCCAAGUCCGGGAUAAGCGGAGGAAGAUGGAUGGAUGGAUAUCCAUCACUGGUUCUCAAAAAAAGUGCAACAAAUAUGGUGCACCAAAAGUAAGUGUCCAGAAAUUAAGAGACGUGUGAAGAAAUAGAACACACAAGAACCAAAA